AGAAUGAACGCUGGCGGCAUGCCUAACACAUGCAAGUCGAACGAAGCCUUCGGGCUUAGUGGCGCACGGGUGCGUAACGCGUGGGAAUCUACCCUAGGGUUCGGAAUAACUCAGAGAAAUUUGAGCUAAUACCGGAUGAUGUCGCAAGACCAAAGAUUUAUCGCCCAAGGAUGAGCCCGCGUAGGAUUAGCUAGUUGGUGAGGUAAAGGCUCACCAAGGCGACGAUCCUUAGCUGGUCUGAGAGGAUGAUCAGCCACACUGGGACUGAGACACGGCCCAGACUCCUACGGGAGGCAGCAGUGGGGAAUAUUGGACAAUGGGACGAAAACCUGAUCCAGCAAUGCCGCGUGAGUGAUGAAGGCCUUAGGGUUGUAAAGCUCUUUACCGGGAUGAUAAUGACAGUACCGGAGAAUAAGCUCGGACUAACUCCGUGCCAGCAGCCG
Molecule: ribosomal RNA, 443 nt
Filed under: uncultured soil bacterium
Lineage: Bacteria
Description: bacterial SSU rRNA
Rfam family: Bacterial small subunit ribosomal RNA
Source: RNAcentral